This 447-nucleotide ribosomal RNA is filed under the name uncultured bacterium. RNAcentral's name for it is "bacterial SSU rRNA". It matches the Rfam family "Bacterial small subunit ribosomal RNA", at positions 335 to 774 of the family's 1533-position model. The record is from RNAcentral.
ACUCCUACGGGAGGCAGCAGUAGGGAAUCUUCCACAAUGGGCGCAAGCCUGAUGGAGCAACACCGCGUGAGUGAAGAAGGGUUUCGGCUCAUAAAGCUCUGUUGUUAAAGAAGAACACGUAUGAGAGUAACUGUUCAUACGUUGACGGUAUUUAACCAGAAAGUCACGGCUAACUACGUGCCAGCAGCCGCGGUAAUACGUAGGUGGCAAGCGUUAUCCGGAUUUAUUGGGCGUAAAGAGAGUGCAGGCGGUUUUCUAAGUCUGAUGUGAAAGCCUUCGGCUUAACCGGAGAAGUGCAUCGGAAACUGGAUAACUUGAGUGCAGAAGAGGGUAGUGGAACUCCAUGUGUAGCGGUGGAAUGCGUAGAUAUAUGGAAGAACACCAGUGGCGAAGGCGGCUACCUGGUCUGCAACUGACGCUGAGACUCGAAAGCAUGGGUAGCGAACA